GAUGAACGCUAGCGACAGGCUUAACACAUGCAAGUCGAGGGGCAGCAUAAAAGUAGCAAUACUUUGGUGGCGACCGGCGCACGGGUGAGUAACGCGUAUGCAACCUACCUAUCAGAGGGGGAUAACCCGGCGAAAGUCGGACUAAUACCGCAUAAAACAGGGGCACCGCAUGGUGAUAUUUGUUAAAGAUUAAUUGCUGAUAGAUGGGCAUGCGUUCCAUUAGGUAGUUGGUGAGGUAACGGCUCACCAAGCCGACGAUGGAUAGGGGAACUGAGAGGUUGGUCCCCCACACUGGUACUGAGACACGGACCAGACUCCUACGGGAGGCAGCAGUGAGGAAUAUUGGUCAAUGGGCGAGAGCCUGAACCAGCCAAGUCGCGUGAAGGAAGAAGGAUCUAUGGUUCGUAAACUUCUUUUGCAGGGGAAUAAAGUGGAGGACGUGUCCUCUUUUGUAUGUACCCUGAGAAUAAGGAUCGGCUAACUCCGUGCCAGCAGCCGCGGUAA
Molecule: ribosomal RNA, 504 nt
Filed under: uncultured bacterium
Lineage: Bacteria
Description: bacterial SSU rRNA
Rfam family: Bacterial small subunit ribosomal RNA
Source: RNAcentral